CCGCUCCUUCGGAGCCAGCCGGGGACCUCGGGGCGCUGCCAGGGGCUUUGGCAUCUGCGCAUCAGACGUGCGGGACUGACGAGUCUCGUGCCUUCCAGGAGCCAUGGGCAAGAGGAGAAGUGUUGUCAACGCGAGGACGAGCGAUGGAUGGAGAUGCCUGCAACCUAUGGCUGAACUGGAGGUAAUUCACUAGCGGAUCGAUAACCUACCGAAGGUUCCUGAAAGGCUGCAACAUUGUACGGAGCCCGGUUAGCGCUUAAAUCGUUUCUUUAAUGUUUGCUAGCUUGAGGGUACUGAAUAAAACGUUCUGGUUUGUGCUGUGAUUAUUUCUUUGCUGCUUACAGUAAAAAAGAAAAUAAAAAUAAAGCAGAUGUCCCCUGAUAAUUGGCUUUUAAAAAAAAUCCAUAUCUGAUGAGGGAUUUAAAGGAGCAUGAUUGCUUGUCUUUAUGUUUUGCAACGUGUUUGAUUUUUAAGGUCGAGUUGGGGCCUUGCAAGAACGAAUGUGUUUGUGGACAAUAAGAAUGAAUUUAGCAGGGAUCAAUGUAAACAGGGGAAGCCGUCAUCUUUUAAUAUUCCUUUAGCAUCAGUUAUUAACUGAUACAACUUGUGAAGCAAAGAAAAAAGUAUAUUUGAAAUUAUAUAGAAACUAGACAAAGAACUAUUUUUUUCCUGUACAUAAAAUCCCCUGAAUUUCUCAACUAUCUAACUUUCAACAAAAUUGAAUUUGAACAACACUUCUGUGCAGCUGAGGGUAACAUGAGUUGAGCAUUUUUAUACGUGUUUCCAAGGCCUGCAAGCUCAGUAUAGGAGCUCGAGCUUUGUGCUUGAUAUGGUGAGAAAGAUUUGCUGCAUUCACCCUUCUGCUUUAUUGAAUAAAUGUUACCCUGAAAGCUUAAAGAAAGGAGGCUAAAAUAUCACUUAUUUCCAUUGUCUUAUUAUACAAAUUAUAUUUAUCUAGUGGAUGUCUAGAUGCUGUGCAUUUUUUACAUAUAAUUAUCACAUGUCCUAAAAAAUCAUUAAAAUUCUAAUCUAGAAUUUGUAAUCAUUAGAGUAAAUUAAUGUUUUAGGAUAGAUUUUUUUUAAGUAAAACAAUAUGUACUAGAUUUGAUCACUGUAUCUGUAGCUAUGAUCACUAUAUAUUUAAAAAUGUACAUGUAUCUCCUUUUCCUCAGAUUUGUAACAAUAACCACUCUGUUUCAGCUUCAUUUUAAAUCCACACUUCAAAUAAUUGAAACGGAAAUGAAAUAAUAUUUAAUGUCUAAUAAAGAUUUAAAAAAUAAA
Molecule: non-coding RNA, 1281 nt
Organism: Sturnus vulgaris (Common starling)
Lineage: Eukaryota; Metazoa; Chordata; Aves; Passeriformes; Sturnidae
Source: RefSeq, a predicted model, not a curated record